UCAAAUCCCGGCAACCACGUAGUGGC
This 26-nucleotide unclassified non-coding RNA is filed under the name Mus musculus (house mouse). Its description in RNAcentral is "oocyte_clustered_small_RNA8325". The record is from RNAcentral. Lineage: Eukaryota; Metazoa; Chordata; Mammalia; Rodentia; Muridae.